Molecule: ribosomal RNA, 492 nt
Filed under: uncultured bacterium
Lineage: Bacteria
Description: partial 16S ribosomal RNA
Rfam family: Bacterial small subunit ribosomal RNA
Source: RNAcentral
AGUGAACGCUGGCGGUAUGCCUAACACAUGCAAGUCGAACGGCAGCACAGUAAGAGCUUGCUCUUACGGGUGGCGAGUGGCGGACGGGUGAGGAAUACAUCGGAAUCUACUUUUUCGUGGGGGAUAACGUAGGGAAACUUACGCUAAUACCGCAUACGACCUACGGGUGAAAGCAGGGGAUCUUCGGACCUUGCGCGAUUGAAUGAGCCGAUGUCGGAUUAGCUAGUUGGCGGGGUAAAGGCCCACCAAGGCGACGAUCCGUAGCUGGUCUGAGAGGAUGAUCAGCCACACUGGAACUGAGACACGGUCCAGACUCCUACGGGAGGCAGCAGUGGGGAAUAUUGGACAAUGGGCGCAAGCCUGAUCCAGCCAUACCGCGUGGGUGAAGAAGGCCUUCGGGUUGUAAAGCCCUGUUGUUGGGAAAGAAAAGCAGCAGGUUAAUACCCCGCUGUUCUGACGGUACCCAAAGAAUAAGCACCGGCUAACUUCGUG